RNAcentral lists this ribosomal RNA (275 nucleotides) under uncultured prokaryote. Its description in RNAcentral is "partial 16S ribosomal RNA". It matches the Rfam family "Bacterial small subunit ribosomal RNA", at positions 524 to 798 of the family's 1533-position model. The record is from RNAcentral.
UACGGAGGAUCCGAGCGUUAUCCGGAUUUAUUGGGUUUAAAGGGUGCGCAGGCGGGGGAUUAAGUCGGCGGUGAAAUUUUGCAGCUCAACUGUAAAAGUGCCUUCGAAACUGGUUUCCUUGAGUGUAGAUGAAGUAGGCGGAAUUUGUGGUGUAGCGGUGAAAUGCUUAGAUAUCACGAGGAACUCCGAUUGCGCAGGCAGCUUACUAAACCACUACUGACGCUCAGGCACGAAGGCGUGGGGAUCAAACAGGAUUAGAUACCCUGGUAGUCCCU